Juglans microcarpa x Juglans regia is the source of this 3982-nucleotide long non-coding RNA. RefSeq lists it as uncharacterized. The transcript has 3 exons. The record is from RefSeq and is a predicted model, not a curated record. Lineage: Eukaryota; Viridiplantae; Streptophyta; Magnoliopsida; Fagales; Juglandaceae.
UGUUUCCACCGCCUUUCCUGACCGACUCCCCCCAUUGUCUAUAAAUACCCACCUCUUCCCCAAUCAGAUCCUCAUCGUUCUAACCUUAUGGUUUCUUCCGUUUUAGGUUUUUAGGUAUAAGAUCGGUCUUGGGGAAGUUCUCCGUGUUGGGCUUUUUGGUGCCGAUCAUCUUCCUUGUGAAAUCCGGGUUCGUUUCUCCUAAUUAUUUUGUCCGUUAGCUGAAAGGGAAGGAUUUUUUUCGUUAUAGAUUUGUUUCAAUACUUAACCGUCGGUGAUGGUUUUAUGUUUCUUGCGCAUCCGUUCCAAUUCUACGGAGAAGAGCGACGGUUUCAUAGUCGUUCGGAUUUAUAUUAUGCUUUUGGAUUGUGCUUUUAUGGAGGAUUGAUUGCGAGAUUCUUGAAUUUUUGAAAGGAUGUGGUCUUCUUUGCGUUAGGUUUUUUGUUGCAUCGCCGAUCAUCUUUGCUGUGAAAUCCGGGCUUUUUCUUCUGAUUGCGUUGUCCUUUGGCUGGAAGGGAAGAAUUUUCUUUCCCGUUAAAGGUUCGGAUUUUCCUUCAAUACUUAUCGUUUGUCGAUGGUAUCGGUAAUAUUUUUUGCUUCUUGCUUAUCCGUCCUAAUGCUAUGGAGAAGAGCGACGGUUUCAUAGUCGUUCUGUUGGGUUGUGUUUUUAUUGACGAUUGGUUUCUAAAUUCUUGAAUUCUUGAAAGGAUGUGAGCUUCUUCGUGUUGGGUUUUUUGAUGCAUCGCCGAUCAUCUCCGCUGCGAAAUCUGGGUUUUCUCUUCUAAUUGCGUUGGUUGAAAGGGAAAAAUUUUCUUUACCGUUAAAGAUUCGGAUUUUCCUUCAACACUUACCAUUGUUGAUGGUUUUCUUAUGAUAUCGUUUAUCGAUGGAGAAAAUUGAUUUCAGAUGGUAACGAUAAAGGUUUCUGUGUUUCUUCUUUUCCUUCAAUAGUUACCGUGGAUGAUGGUAUUCUUAUGAUAUGGUUUGUCGAUGAAGAAAAGUGAUUUCAGAAGGUAUCGGUAAUUCUUUUUUGCUUCUUACUUAUCCGUCCUAAGGCUAUGGAGAAAUACACGGUUUCAUAGUUGUUCGGAUUUAUAUUAUGCUGUUGGGUUGCGCCUUUUGAUGGUUCGUUUCAGAAUCGUGCAUUUUUUAAAGGAUGUCCAUCAUGGAGAAAGCGACGGUUUCAUAGUUGCCAAAUCUGGAUUUUUCUCCAAAUUACGUUGUCCGUUGGUUGAAAUGGAAUUUUCUUUUUCAUUAAGUUAUGCUUCUUGCAUAUCCGACUUGAUGCUUUGGAGAAAGACUGACAGAUUCAUAUAAUUCUUUUUGGAUUGUGUUUGUUGAUGAUUGGUUUUGAAAUUCUUGUAUUUUUUAUUGGAUGUGGUUUCUUAUUCUUUCAAGUGUUAAUUUCAGCAAUAAGAAUAUUUACCUCGUGGAGAAUGCGGAAGAAAGGAAAUCCAAUAAGAGUAUAUAUACCUCAUUCAAUACCGCUAAAUUUUCCUCAUAUCUUUAAACAAUAUGAUGAUAUUUAUACAAGGUCGUGCUAAUUUCAGCAAUGAGUAUUUGCCUCAUUGAUUUAUAUUUCAUGACUCCGGCAUUUGUCACAAGUUUUCUUUCCCCUCAUUUUCAAGACACGAGGAAGUUGUUCUGCAUGUUUCGAUAAUUUUUCUUGUUCAUUUUGUGGCAUUGAAAUUAUCUUGUUCAUUUUGUGGCAUUGGAUUUGCAUUUUCUUCUCUUAGGCCUCCGAUUUUAAGAGGAAUAUAUAUUUAUUACUUAUUGCAUGAUUUGCUGACAGCUUUGGUCAUUUUUGUUCGUAACAUAAUUUCCUUUUUUGAUGGUAAUUUGUCAGUUUGUGAUAUGGUUAUGGCUGCCGGGGGCAAAUCGUCUUAUGGCAUUGAAAAACCGGUUUUUGGUUUAUUCAUCUUUGAUUUGACAUGAGUUAGGCUUUCUAAGGUUUGUGUCUGCAAAUCACAUUCUUGGUACUGGUGCAACCAAGUUUGGAACUGGUCCAAAGCUUCCACAAUUCUCGAUGAAUUUCAGCACCAAGUAAACUAUGCUUCAAUAUAUUCUUGUGAAUAUCGCUUGUGGUUUUCUAAUAUGGAAUUCUCGAUCGAGUGCAUGAAAUAGUAUGUUCCUGAUAGGUCCAUAGGACUGUUGAAUUCGUCAUGGUUUUUCUUGUGAUUUGAGCAACAGAGCCCUAUUCUUAUGUUUAUUUUUUCCUUCAAAAUCCACUGUGUAGGAGCUGCAGAAGCAAGGGAACUCUAGUUUUUCUUAUCAUCAUGUCACAUUUGCUUGGGCUUUUUAACGUUUUUGAACGGUUGCUUUAAUCACCUGGAUUGCACAAUCGCAGAAAAUCAAGGCGAUGGUUAUUUAUCUACUCUAUUUCACAUUUUGGUCUAUUCAUAUUCACACUUCAACAGUAAAUCUGUUUAGUAUACGAUCUAUCUCAUGGAGUUUGAAGUUGGGCUACAACUCCUUACUGCAGUUGGUUGCAGCAAAGUUUUUUUGGUCCUGAUCAAUAUGGUUCCCCUUCUACAGGAUUAAAACCAUGAAACACACUACAGUUGGCUGGCUUGCAAAUCUGCAACACUGAAUUUUGCUUUAUGGUUGACUGCCUUGCUUUAUCUACUCUAUUUCACAUUUCGGUCUAUUCAUAUUCACACUUCAACAGUAAAUCUGUUUAGUAUAUGAUCUAUCUCAUGGAGUUUGGAGUUGUGCUACAACUCCUUACUGCAGUUGGUUCCACCAAAGUUUUUUUGGUCCUGAUCAAUAUGUUGCCCCUUCUACAGGAUUAAAACUAUGAAACACAUUACAGUUGGUUGACUGCCUUGGAAAGCACAGGAUUGAAACUAUGAUUCAAACUACACUACGGAUGGCUGGCUUGCAAUUUGUAACACUGACUUUUGCUUUAUGGUUGACUGGCUUGGAAACCAUGAGGCCAAAUAAGUUCCUCCCAGUGCCCGCAGAAACCAGAAAACUGUUAUUUUUCCUUCUCUUCAUUCCGCUUUUGCCGAAAAGUCUGUUCAUAUAUAGUUUUCUUUAACCGGAUCCUGUUCCUUAUUUGAUUUAUUUAGGGUUGGUGCUUUACAACUUUUUACUGUGUUGGGUUCGAGCAAAGUUUGUUCUUCUAGAUCAAUUCUGUUUAUUCAAGAGGAGUUUAAAUUUAUAGCUAUUCUUUACUUUCUCCGCUGCGGGUUUCUUCUACUGGGGUACAAAUAAAUCUAUCCAUUACUUUCUCCAUGGCUGCAUGAUAAUCCUUGAAUUAAUUUAAAGUCUCUUGGUAUUUAAAAAAGUGGCGUUUCUGUUGUGAAUUAUUAAUCUAUUCCAGAACCAGUUAAAGUCGGAUGCUUUAACAUGUUUUCUGUCUAAAUUCCAUUGAGGUGUAGGUUUGGAUUUCCUUUCGAAGUUACAUCUUUCAUGGAGUCCCCAUUCUUGAUCUUGGGUGAUAAUGUUAACUGGAGCUGCAGAAGCAAGGGAACUCUUAUUUGUUCCUAUCUUCAUAUCACAUUUGCUUGGGCAUUUUAAUGUUUGAGAUCAGAGGGCCUUGUUUAUGGUCUGGAUUGCACGAUCCCAUAGAAGCAAGGCACUGGUUAUUUUUUCUGCUCUCACUUUUCGCAUAUAUGUCGAGUCAUAUUUUCCCCCUCGACCACAAACCUUUAGCAUAUGAUGUAUCUCAUGGAAUUUGGAGUUGUGCUACAACUUCUACUGCAGUUGGUUCCUGCUAUGAUUUCUUGUCCUGAUCAAUAUGGUGCCUUAUACAGGAUUAAAACUACUCUGUAUGGUUGGCUGGCUUCCAACUUGUAAUGCUGACAUGCUUUAGGUUUGACUCGCUUGGAAACCAUAAGCGCAAAUAAGUUCCUCUAAGUGCCUGCAGAAACAAGAAUACUGUUAUUUUUCCUUCUCUUUGUUUCACUUUUGCUGAGAUGUCACAAUGAUGUUCCUUAUUUGAUUUAUUUACGGUUGGUGCUUCACAACUUUUUCCCUUCGA